This 329-nucleotide unclassified non-coding RNA is filed under the name plant metagenome. Its description in RNAcentral is "partial contains 5.8S ribosomal RNA, internal transcribed spacer 2, and large subunit ribosomal RNA". The stretch from base 1 to 105 matches the Rfam family "5.8S ribosomal RNA", at positions 50 to 154 of the family's 154-position model. The record is from RNAcentral.
GAAAUGCGAUAAGUAAUGUGAAUUGCAGAAUUCAGUGAAUCAUCGAAUCUUUGAACGCACAUUGCGCCCGUCAGCAUUCUGGCGGGCAUGCCUGUUCGAGCGUCAUUUCAACCCUCAGGACCCCCCUUUCGCGGGGAGGGACCUGGCGUUGGGGAUCGGCCCGCCCCCCGCGGCGGCGCCGUCCCCGAAAUCGAGUGGCGGUCUCGCUGCAGCCUCCCCUGCGUAGUAGUUACAACCUCGCAUCGGAGCGCGGCGCGGCCACGCCGUAAAACCCCCGACUUUCUGAACGUUGACCUCGGAUCAGGUAGGAAUACCCGCUGAACUUAAGC